RNAcentral lists this ribosomal RNA (121 nucleotides) under Propithecus coquereli (Coquerel's sifaka). The record is from RNAcentral. Lineage: Eukaryota; Metazoa; Chordata; Mammalia; Primates; Indriidae.
GCCUACGGCCAUACCACACUGAACUCACCCGAUCUUGUGUUAUCUCGGAAGCUAAGCAGGGUCUGGCCUGGUUAGUACUUGGAUGGGAGAAAAUUAAGUCUGAACUUCAGCUUGGUAUUCA